Molecule: ribosomal RNA, 321 nt
Filed under: uncultured bacterium
Lineage: Bacteria
Description: bacterial SSU rRNA
Rfam family: Bacterial small subunit ribosomal RNA
Source: RNAcentral
CGUGUCGUGAGAUGUUGGGUUAAGUCCCGCAACGAGCGCAACCCUUGCCAUUAGUUGCUACAUUUUAAGGUGAGCACUCUAAUGGGACUGCCGGUGACAAACCGGAGGAAGGUGGGGAUGACGUCAAGUCCUCAUGGCCCUUAUGGGUAGGGCCUCACACGUCAUACAAUGGCGCAUACAGAGGGUUGCCAACCCGCGAGGGGGAGCCAAUCCCAGAAAGUGCGUCGUAGUCCGGAUUGGAGUCUGCAACUCGACUCCAUGAAGUCGGAAUCGCUAGUAAUCGCGGAUCAGUAUGUCGCGGUGAAUACGUUCCCGGGUCUU